ACGGGUGAGUAAUGCCUAGGAAUCUGCCUGGUAGUGGGGGAUAACGUCCGGAAACGGACGCUAAUACCGCAUACGUCCUACGGGAGAAAGCAGGGGACCUUCGGGCCUUGCGCUAUCAGAUGAGCCUAGGUCGGAUUAGCUAGUUGGUGAGGUAAAGGCUCACCAAGGCGACGAUCCGUAACUGGUCUGAGAGGAUGAUCAGUCACACUGGAACUGAGACACGGUCCAGACUCCUACGGGAGGCAGCAGUGGGGAAUAUUGGACAAUGGGCGAAAGCCUGAUCCAGCCAUGCCGCGUGUGUGAAGAAGGUCUUCGGAUUGUAAAGCACUUUAAGUUGGGAGGAAGGGUCGUUACCUAAUACGUGACGAUUUUGACGUUACCGACAGAAUAAGCACCGGCUAACUCUGUGCCAGCAGCCGCGGUAAUACAGAGGGUGCAAGCGUUAAUCGGAAUUACUGGGCGUAAAGCGCGCGUAGGUGGUUUGUUAAGUUGAAUGUGAAAUCCCCGGGCUCAACCUGGGAACUGCAUCCCAAACUGGCAAGCUAGAGUAGGGCAGAGGGUGGUGGGAAUUUCCCUGUGUAGCGG
This 585-nucleotide ribosomal RNA is filed under the name Pseudomonas sp. StFLB212. RNAcentral's name for it is "bacterial SSU rRNA". It matches the Rfam family "Bacterial small subunit ribosomal RNA", at positions 102 to 681 of the family's 1533-position model. The record is from RNAcentral. Lineage: Bacteria; Pseudomonadati; Pseudomonadota; Gammaproteobacteria; Pseudomonadales; Pseudomonadaceae.